UACGUAGGGGGCAAGCGUUAUCCGGAUUUACUGGGUGUAAAGGGAGCGUAGACGGUUUGGCAAGUCUGAUGUGAAAGCCCGGGGCUCAACCCCGUGACUGCAUUGGAAACUGUUGAACUAGAGUGCAGGAGAGGUAAGUGGAAUUCCUAGUGUAGCGGUGAAAUGCGUAGAUAUUAGGAGGAACACCAGUGGCGAAGGCGACUUACUGGACUGUAACUGACGUUGAGGCUCGAAAGCGUGGGGAGCAAACAGG
Molecule: ribosomal RNA, 253 nt
Filed under: uncultured prokaryote
Description: partial 16S ribosomal RNA
Rfam family: Bacterial small subunit ribosomal RNA
Source: RNAcentral